RNAcentral lists this ribosomal RNA (253 nucleotides) under uncultured bacterium. Its description in RNAcentral is "partial 16S ribosomal RNA". It matches the Rfam family "Bacterial small subunit ribosomal RNA", at positions 524 to 776 of the family's 1533-position model. The record is from RNAcentral.
UACGUAGGGUGCAAGCGUUGUCCGGAAUUACUGGGCGUAAAGGGCGCGUAGGCGGCGCGGUAAGUCACUUGUGAAAUCUCUGAGCUUAACUCAGAACGGCCAAGUGAUACUGCAGUGCUAGAGUGUGGAAGGGGCAAUCGGAAUUCUUGGUGUAGCGGUGAAAUGCGUAGAUAUCAAGAGGAACACCUGAGGUGAAGACGGGUUGCUGGGCCAACACUGACGCUGAGGCGCGAAAGCCAGGGGAGCAAACGGG